Molecule: long non-coding RNA, 1021 nt
Organism: Pezoporus occidentalis (night parrot)
Lineage: Eukaryota; Metazoa; Chordata; Aves; Psittaciformes; Psittacidae
Exons: 3
Source: RefSeq, a predicted model, not a curated record
UUAGACAAGCCAUGGCAGCACUUGUCUUUUUAAAGGAUGUAUGCCCCCCACAUUCCCCUAUUUUUCAUCACUUUUCAUUUCUGAGAAAAAAAAAUGGCAUAGUUCCCCAUCACUGGAAAUGUCUCUUCUUUCAGGCCCUGCACCCACUGCUCUCAAUUUGGGACAACGGUAUUGGGGUGUCUGGAGGAGCUGCACAAACCAGAAGGGUGGUUUUGCUCUGGGUUUGAUGGGAAUGGACAGGAGGCAUGUGGAGCCCCGUAACCCUGAGCCCUUUGGCAGAGGCUGUGUCAGUUGGUGUCUGUACAACAACAGAUGGAAGGACAAAGCUGCAGAAGAGGUGGAGAGGACAGUUACCAUGAACAAAGUCUCAUCUGCAUCAGCUGCUGUGUCAAGUGGCAGAGCCUGGACCGGGGCCAGCACACCUGAGUGUGCUGGCAUCAAGGGAUGGGUGUUAUAGCCAAAACCACUGGUCCAACCUGAAGCAUUCCCUGCAUACACUGUUAUUGCAUGGUGAGUACAAAACCAUUCUACGGUCCAGAUGAACCUUUAAAGGUGGUUUCUGCUGAGGCCACCUUUCUCUGCUCAGCGUGUGCUCAGUUUUAAUGUAUCUUCAAAGGUUUCUUAGGCUUACUGGGUUGAGUACAGCUCAUAUAAGCUACCAGUUCUUCAACUCUGCACAUACAUACAGCAGAUGAUAGAGCAUGAAGUAGCUACACUGGAUCCACCACUAAAGACCAGGUUGGACAGGGCCUUUAGUGGCCUGGUCUAGUGUGAGAUGCCCCUGCCCAUGGCAAAGGGUUGGAACUGGAUAACCUUAAGGUCCUUUCCUACCAUAACCAUUCUGUGAUUCUAAUUCUCGGCUGGGCCGGGCCAUCUUCUCCAUAGGAGAAGGCUCAUAGAACUUCCUUGCAUUUGUCUGUGUCUCUGAGGAGUUGUAUGUGCUGAUGAGAACUACUUCAAAGUGUUUUGUUGAAUCUAUUUUUCAGUUAACUGAGUUUUUUGCUGGGUGUUUUGCCUCUGU